CGAUGCUGAUGUCAGAGUGGCCAUUGUGACCCGUGCGAGCACGGCCCCAAAAGGGAAGGCCGCGCUCAGGCCGUGUGUCAGUGCGACCUGACAACGGCAGGAGAAGAAUCAGCGGAGGAAUAUCCAGAGGAGACUGGGUUGUUCCUGGAAGCAACCGACGGGAGGAGAAGGCGGACAGGAGCAGGGCUCACACAGGGCUGAGCAGGGAGUAGUGCCCUUGUGGCUCUGGGCCUGUUCUGCCCACUCCCACACACUCUUCUUUUGCCCACAGCUAGAGGGAGAACAAACAACUGGAGCAGACCGUGGCAUUGCUGGACAGCAACUCACAGCUGACAGCUGCCAUGUCCUCAGAGCUGACACGUGCCAUGUCUGACAGAAAGCAGGAGGGCCCUGGUGCCAGGGAGCCAGCAUGCAUGCUGUGUCGCCGUGUGGAGGCUGACCCGGACACCUGCGGUGACAAAGUGGAGAAGGGCGGGCUCUGUGCCCACGUCUUUUGCCUG
This is a long non-coding RNA of Passer domesticus (house sparrow), 500 nucleotides long. RefSeq lists it as uncharacterized. The transcript is spliced from 3 exons. NCBI's taxonomy places the organism in Eukaryota, Metazoa, Chordata, Aves, Passeriformes, Passeridae. The record is from RefSeq and is a predicted model, not a curated record.